GAUGAACGCUGGCGGCGUGCCUAAUACACGCAAGUCGAGCGAACAGACGAGGAGCUUGCUCCUUUGACGUUAGCGGCGGACGGGUGAGUAACACGUAGGUAACCUACCUAUAAGACUGGGAUAACUUCGGGAAACCGGAGCUAAUACCGGAUAAUAUUUCGAACCGCAUGGUUCGAUAGUGAAAGAUGGCUUUGCUAUCACUUAUAGAUGGACCUGCGCCGUAUUAGCUAGUUGGUAAGGUAACGGCUUACCAAGGCAACGAUACGUAGCCGACCUGAGAGGGUGAUCGGCCACACUGGAACUGAGACACGGUCCAGACUCCUACGGGAGGCAGCAGUAGGGAAUCUUCCGCAAUGGGCGAAAGCCUGACGGAGCAACGCCGCGUGAGUGAUGAAGGUCUUCGGAUCGUAAAACUCUGUUAUUAGGGAAGAACAAACGUGUAAGUAACUGUGCACGUCUUGACGGUACCUAAUCAGAAAGCCACGGCUAACUACGUG
Molecule: ribosomal RNA, 497 nt
Filed under: uncultured bacterium
Lineage: Bacteria
Description: partial 16S ribosomal RNA
Rfam family: Bacterial small subunit ribosomal RNA
Source: RNAcentral